RNAcentral lists this ribosomal RNA (253 nucleotides) under uncultured bacterium. RNAcentral's name for it is "partial 16S ribosomal RNA". It matches the Rfam family "Bacterial small subunit ribosomal RNA", at positions 524 to 776 of the family's 1533-position model. The record is from RNAcentral.
UACAGAGGGUGCGAGCGUUAAUCGGAAUUACUGGGCGUAAAGCGCGCGUAGGCGGCUUUGCAAGUCGGGUGUGAAAUCCCCAGGCUUAACCUGGGAACUGCAUUCGAGACUGCAUUGCUAGAGUAUGGGAGAGGGAAGUGGAAUUUCCGGUGUAGCGGUGAAAUGCGUAGAUAUCGGGAGGAACACCAAUUGCGAAGGCAGCUCGCUGGGACGUCACUGACGCUGAGACGCGAAAGCGUGGGGAGCAAACAGG